UACAGAGGGUGCAAGCGUUGUUCGGAAUUAUUGGGCGUAAAGGGCGCGUAGGCGGUGCCACAAGUCACCUGUGAAAUCUCCGGGCUUAACUCGGAGCCUGCAGGCGAAACUGUGGUGCUGGAGUGUGGGAGAGGUGCGUGGAAUUCCUGGUGUAGCGGUGAAAUGCGCAGAUAUCAGGAGGAACACCGGUGGCGAAGGCGGUGAUCUGGGCCGACACUGACGCUGUAGAGCGAAAGCGUGGGGAGCGAACAGG
Molecule: ribosomal RNA, 253 nt
Filed under: uncultured bacterium
Lineage: Bacteria
Description: partial 16S ribosomal RNA
Rfam family: Bacterial small subunit ribosomal RNA
Source: RNAcentral